Perognathus longimembris pacificus (Pacific pocket mouse) is the source of this 222-nucleotide long non-coding RNA. RefSeq lists it as uncharacterized. The transcript is spliced from 2 exons. Lineage: Eukaryota; Metazoa; Chordata; Mammalia; Rodentia; Heteromyidae. The record is from RefSeq and is a predicted model, not a curated record.
UCACUAGCCUAAGUUAGAGGCGGCCACGAUCACUGUGACAGAUCGCCAGGCUAGCCUGAGCUUACAUAUGAGGGAAAAGAACAGGCCUCCCUAGAUUCUCACGCAAAUGUUCCACAAGCCUCCAUCUAGAAGAUAGUAUCUUGAUGAUAAUAAGUGCAACAUAUUAGGGCUCUAGUUGACUGGCAUUUUAAAAUACAUUUUCAGCCAUUCUUCUUCUCAAAC